UGGAGUCAGCCACACCAACACUUGAUCACUAACUGGACGUUUGGAUAUGUUCUAGAUGCAUCUAUGAAACAAAAUGUUUUUCAACCAACUUGUGGAUUUUGAAGAAUGGCCACCAAGCAUUUCUGGACAGGUGACUGUGCCAACAUUAAAAGCUGUGCUGUGCCAUCCAGUGGGUGGUGGCGGGCGCCUGACAGGGCUGCCUGCUCACAGCAGCACACACAGGUGGGCUUCCCACUUAGAAGAUACCUGAUGUGUACUACAAAUCCACAUGCUGAAUUAUGCAACUCACAUUAUCGUUUUGAGGUUCCUCUUCUGUAGCAGCUUGGAUGCUAUAAGCCAAGAAA
Molecule: long non-coding RNA, 344 nt
Organism: Sapajus apella (tufted capuchin)
Lineage: Eukaryota; Metazoa; Chordata; Mammalia; Primates; Cebidae
Exons: 2
Source: RefSeq, a predicted model, not a curated record